This 640-nucleotide long non-coding RNA is filed under the name Gallus gallus (chicken). Its description in RNAcentral is "lncRNA (ENSGALG00010006539.1)". The record is from RNAcentral. Lineage: Eukaryota; Metazoa; Chordata; Aves; Galliformes; Phasianidae.
CAAGAAACAGUCCGGAGGAAAACAAUGAAAAUGCUGCCUCUGGGAAAGGAGAUGUGGUAUUAGUAAAGAGAAGGCAGAUUUUCUGGUUUUAGAUUUCUUGAAGAGAGGGAAAUCAAGUGGAUUUAUUAUGUGAAUGGAAUCUAACUUGGACCUGUGUCUAUGCACGUACACACCUAUGCAUACACACGUAUGUAUACUACAGAUACAUAUACAGCAGUGUUGUUGUGAUAUUCUCCAAGGAGAGUGACAAGUCCCUUAUCAGCCUUUCGGUUCCCGGGCUCACGUUCCUCUGACCUUCUUCUUACUUCUAGAAAUAAGCAGUGAAACAAAACAGCAGCCAAAAGGUCCUGGCAGAGGCUUCUGAAGACAGAAACUGUACAGUAGGUGUGGCGUGCCUCUCCUCUGGGUAAUAACACUGCAAGGCAGUUCAUCCUGGAAACAUCCUAGUCAGCCAGAGGCUGCUGGACCUGCCUGUCUCACAGCUCGGAGCCGUACCUGACGCAGCAUUCCAGGGCUGUGCUGCACUGGGGUUGUCCAGCCCCAAGCUCCCCCAGAGCCUUUCCUUUGGGAACAGCCUGCCAAAUCAAAGCUACCCCUAUUUGUAGUUAGCAGUGUGAGAUUUUUUGAAGAAAUGGAGCAG